This 429-nucleotide ribosomal RNA is filed under the name bacterium. Its description in RNAcentral is "partial 16S ribosomal RNA". It matches the Rfam family "Bacterial small subunit ribosomal RNA", at positions 355 to 776 of the family's 1533-position model. RNAcentral also lists the same sequence under 1 other name. The record is from RNAcentral.
UAGGGAAUCUUCGGCAAUGGACGAAAGUCUGACCGAGCAACGCCGCGUGAGUGAAGAAGGUUUUCGGAUCGUAAAACUCUGUUGUUAGAGAAGAACAAGGACGUUAGUAACUGAACGUCCCCUGACGGUAUCUAACCAGAAAGCCACGGCUAACUACGUGCCAGCAGCCGCGGUAAUGCGUAGGUGGCAAGCGUUGUCCGGAUUUAUUGGGCGUAAAGCGAGCGCAGGCGGUUUCUUAAGUCUGAUGUGAAAGCCCCCGGCUCAACCGGGGAGGGUCAUUGGAAACUGGGAGACUUGAGUGCAGAAGAGGAGAGUGGAAUUCCAUGUGUAGCGGUGAAAUGCGUAGAUAUAUGGAGGAACACCAGUGGCGAAGGCGGCUCUCUGGUCUGUAACUGACGCUGAGGCUCGAAAGCGUGGGGAGCAAACAGG